Molecule: non-coding RNA, 801 nt
Organism: Petromyzon marinus (sea lamprey)
Lineage: Eukaryota; Metazoa; Chordata; Hyperoartia; Petromyzontiformes; Petromyzontidae
Source: RefSeq, a predicted model, not a curated record
GGCGGACCCUGCCAAGUGAUGCGCAUUUAGUCGAGCUCACGGGGGACAUUUCAUUUUACGCGUUUAACAUGCAAUAAAUAUACACGUCACGCUGCGGAUUUUUCUUCACAGUCUCAUGUCCUCUUCGCCCCCCCCCCCAAAAAAAACACGUCCAGUUUCUACAACAGAGUCCGUAGAUAAUAAUAUAGUGCUUAAAUACCAUUAUUAUUGCACGGCCGGGGGGAUGGCUGUGGGGGUAGUGGCCCAGCCUGCCAACGCGCUACCUCCCCCGCCUCGGCAAUGUAGGCCAGGACGGGGGCUCCGCACCGGCCUAGGCCUGACCAAGCCUAUGCACCUGGACAGACACGAGGGCCUGCUGCAGGCUGGCACAAUGUGCCCGCCACAUCUCUUCUUCCUCUGCUGCGCCACCCCGCGCAGCCUCGAGCUCUGCCACUCGCGCCACGAUCCGACCAAGCUGCUGCUCCACCUGACAGACACACGACACAGUGCCUCUGUGUCAAUCCACUGCUGGAAGGCCUCACAUGUCAUGUUGGUAAUGGAAACGGUUUGACCGUGCUUCACCACACUGGUUUGGCUUGAAGGGGAUGAGGCCCAAGAUCGGUUCAGAUUUCACUCAUCACCGAUGUCAGUUGUGACUGGGAAUCGAAGUCAAGUUGCCAAGUUCGUAGCGCAGUCGCUCUCCGCUGCACUAUGACUCCCGUUUAUACUAUAUGUGUAUCCUCAAAUAUUCAAAUAGACUAUUAAGGUUGCUCGAAACAUACUGAACUGUCAUUUAGAUUCAUAAAGUAUGAUUUUGUGAAA